This 205-nucleotide unclassified non-coding RNA is filed under the name Hevea brasiliensis (rubber tree). Lineage: Eukaryota; Viridiplantae; Streptophyta; Magnoliopsida; Malpighiales; Euphorbiaceae. The record is from RNAcentral.
AUCAUCGCCGGGAGCGAAAACCGAUCGAAUGGAAGACAAAGAAGAGUGGAAAAUGUUAAUGGAAAAUUGCGGAUUCGAGUCAGUAAAUCUCAGCCAUUAUGCAAAAAGCCAAGCUAAAAUCCUUUUAUGGAACUACGAUUACAGCUCCGAGUAUUCAUUAAUGGAAUCCUCUGGGUUUCUCUCGUUGGCAUGGAACGAAGUCCCA